GAAGUUGGAAUUGCUAGUAAUCGUGGAUCAGCAUGCCACGGUGAAUACGUUCCCGGGUCUUGUACACACCGCCCGUCACACCAUGGGAGCCGGUAAUACCCGAAGUCAGUAGUCUAACCGCAAGGAGGACGCUGCCGAAGGUAGGAUUGGCGACUGGGGUGAAGUCGUAACAAGGUACC
RNAcentral lists this ribosomal RNA (179 nucleotides) under uncultured bacterium. RNAcentral's name for it is "partial 16S ribosomal RNA". It matches the Rfam family "Bacterial small subunit ribosomal RNA", at positions 1322 to 1500 of the family's 1533-position model. The record is from RNAcentral.